RNAcentral lists this ribosomal RNA (253 nucleotides) under uncultured bacterium. Its description in RNAcentral is "partial 16S ribosomal RNA". It matches the Rfam family "Bacterial small subunit ribosomal RNA", at positions 524 to 776 of the family's 1533-position model. The record is from RNAcentral.
GACGAAGGGGGCUAGCGUUGUUCGGAAUUACUGGGCGUACAGCGCGUGUAGGCGGUUGUCCAAGUUGGAUGUGAAAGCCUUGAGCUCAACUCAAGAAAUGCAUUCAGGACUGGAUGACUAGAGGACCGGAGAGGAUAGUGGAAUUCCCAGUGUAGUGGUGAAAUACGUAGAGAUUGGGAAGAACACCAGUGGCGAAGGCGGCUAUCUGGACGGUUUCUGACGCUAAGACGCGAAAGCGUGGGGAGCAAACAGG